Molecule: long non-coding RNA, 3734 nt
Organism: Gasterosteus aculeatus aculeatus (three-spined stickleback)
Lineage: Eukaryota; Metazoa; Chordata; Actinopteri; Perciformes; Gasterosteidae
Source: Ensembl
UGUAAGUAUAGAUAUAUUUAUUUAUACCUAUAUACGUAUACAUACAUCCCAGUAUCUAAAGAAAAUGAAUCCCAGGAGUCAAACCAACAACAUGUUGGUCCGUCCCUCAACACUGUCUUACUUCCUGUCUCACUUUCUCCCUCAGGAAUUUAAUACUCAAAUACAGAAACACGCUGUACCGAGUUUAAAUGAUUUAGAGAUCAAUAAAUCGGUAACUAAACAAUGACAUCUUCAACUCAACAUCCGCUUAAAGUGACGAUGGAGAUAAUGAAGACCACAACAUGUGUCUGAAAGGUAUUUUCCAAUUAAAGUUAGACUUCAAAAUGAAAUAUUGAAAUCUUUAUUUAGGAUAAAUUCAAUAUUGAAUAAGUUCAAUUUGUACUACAAAGUAUUUGUGUCCUGAGGAAAUGGAGCUGUAGAAAUGAGGUUGGUUCCUCUCAGCGUCUGCCAGUCAGAUCUCAGGGCAGAUAAUCCACAGGAGGCCGUGAGAGCCUCAACUCUGCACCAAGGGACUAAAAUCAAACGCACCUCAACACCCUCCAACCAGACCUCACUCAAAUAAUCCAAACCUUCCACACUCAGCGAGCGGAUCUUAGAACGUCGACUAACAUGCCAAGUAUAACAUCCAUUUAGUGCAGCUACUAUGAAAUACAAUGAAAUAGGACCAAUAUGAAAUAUAGAACAAAGAAUAAACGUUGUAGCAAACAGUACCUAUAGGUAAUGAUAUAUAUAUAUAUAUAUAUAUAUCAGUAGUACUGUGAUCCUAUGGUAGUACAUCAGUGGUACUGUGAUCCUGUGGUAGUAUCUGUAGUUCUACAGCUCCCCCUACAGGAUAGAAGGAGGAGGACGUUUCAGCUCACGUCUCCCAUCAUAAACACGUAGUACCUGCAUAGCGCUGUGGGGGGGCUGACUGACCUCUGACCCGCCUUUGAUGACCUCACCCCGUAAUAGACUUCAAGGUCCACCACGUCUGCACACACACACACAGUUUGGAGGUAAUCAAUCAUUGAGCUGUCCCUCCUGUCAAUCAAAGCGACACAGUACAACCGCCCGCCGCUAUCAGCUGACCAAAACGUUGCCUCUGAUAAAAUGAUGUUUUAAUAUUUCCACUUACUAACACUUAUUUGGAUUAUAAAAGAUAUGAAUAAUUAUAACUAAACUGACUGAGUUUAUAUAAUAUAUAUACAUACGUGUCCCUCCGUGUCUGUCUGUCUGUCUCUACUCAGUUCUGAGGGUCCAAACAGUCUCUGUGUGGUUUGAUCCGUCAUCACUCUGCUUCCUGCUGCUGGUCACAUGCUGUCACUGUAGCACACAACGAUAAACACUUUUAUCUUUAUAUAAAUACAAAAUAUGCAGCUGUUAUUAAUCAGAAUGUGAUUGAAUAGUCCCUUUAAGGCUCAGACAACCAAAAUAUAUUCAAAAAUCCGGAGUAUCACAGCAUCCUCGUACGUGGCUGAGUUAGUCAGAUAAUUGUCAGGAUAAGAUCACAUAGAUCAGGCUCAGUUCCACAAAGCGAGUUUGGCAAAAUCACCAUAGCAACACAUCCAAGAACCUCAGCCUGCAGGCAGCUAUGAACUCGCAACCUGCACAACAAAACGGCAGCUUUCUUCCACGGAGACCCGUUGAUGAGCAAUACUAGAACAACGUGUUACAGGGAGAGAGUUCUUCCAAGAUCCGAUAUCACCUACAGGCCGUCUCACAGGCCGUCCCACAGGCCGUCUCACAGACCGUCCCACAGGCCGUCUCACAGACCGUCCCAGAGGCCGUCCCACAGGCCGUCUCACAGGCCGUCUCACAGGCCGUCCCACAGGCCGUCUCACAGGCCGUCUCACAGGCCGUCUCACAGGCCGUCUCACAGGCCGUCUCACAGGCCGUCUCACAGGCCGUCCCACAGGCCGUCCCACAGGCCGUCCCACAGGCCGUCUCACAGGCCGUCCCACAGGCCGUCCCACAGGCCGUCUCACAGGCCGUCCCACAGGCCGUCCCAGAGGCCGUCCCACAGGCCGUCUCACAGGCCGUCCCACAGACCGCCCCACAGGCCGUCUCACAGGCCGUCCCACAGACCGUCCCACAGACCGUCCCACAGGCCGUCUCACAGGCCGUCUCACAGACCGUCCCACAGGCCGUCCCACAGACCGUCCCACAGACCGUCUCACAGGCCGUCCCACAGACCGUCUCACAGGCCGUCUCACAGGCCAUCUCACAGACCGUCCCACAGGCCGUCUCACAGACCGUCCCACAGACCGUCCCACAGGCCGUCCCACAGACCGUCUCACAGACCGUCCCACAGGCCGUAGGACAUAGUGUCUCACAGGCCGUAGGACAGACUCACAGACUGACAUACAGAGCGUCUCACAACAGGAAAGCCGUUUUCGUAAAGUUUAUUUGACGCUUAAGAAGCUUGUUUGACCGCUUCAACUGAUUGAAUUUCUGAAUAUAAAUAAUACAAAUAUAUUGAUCUGCCUGUACACAGAUUUGCACACAGAUUAUUUGUUCAUAUUCCUAUACAUGUUUGUUAUAUGAUAAUUAACUGUACUGGCGGUUGACUGACUGUAGGUGUAUGAAGGUCAGAGUGAACGGUUGCUGUUUUCGUUGAUGAUGAUGAUGGAGUCCAGUCAAAUAGACCCCCCCCCCCCCCCCAUGCUAUCUGAUUUACUCUCUAAGGAUGAGCAGUGUAGAACAAGACAAGUAUUCAAGAUCUCCACAUGUUGUGAGAGUAGAUUUCAGUGUCAAGUUAGUGUCAAGAAGACGGACGCAAGAGUUCCAGGUAUAGGAGACCACAAAAAUAAUCAUUUAUACUUUUUAAAAGUGAAAUUCUUUGUGGCAAUCAUGGCAAUAAAUGUUUCCUGGUUCGUGAAAUUGGUUUAACUUGGCACUAAAUUGGCACUUGUUUUAUUGUAAAGUUCAUACUAUGAAACGGGUCAUGAAUACGUAUUUACGUAUGCUAAGAACAAAGUCGAAACCGGAGUCAAAUUCCACAUUUCAAAUUGUGAUUUGGUUAAGAUUAACCUAAAUGUAUCAAGAAAUACUACUUUAAUCCCUUAUAACUGUCUCAUGGUUCUCUAUAGAUACCUGUCAACACCCAUAUACCCAUUCAACCUAAUAAACCAUUACUGAAAGUCAAUUAUCUUUAGGUAUAAUAAACUUUUCUCAACAUAAAAGUGUGAAAGGUUUUUCUAUUUGAACUAUUAGUGAAUGAAGUGAAUGAAUUAGCGUUUAUAAUAAUUAACACUGAGCGGUCUUCAGCUGUCAAAUUAAAACAAUCCUCCCGAAAUAAUAUUUAACCGAGAAAACCCGGAAAGACGGGGCUUUUAUUGUGAAGCGCACUGCUCUCUUUUUCCCAGUGUUGAUGUAGCUGCUGUCAACUUGACGUUUCCGCUCUGAAGGUCGCUCAAAAAAUGACCAGAGUUAACAGCUUGCAAAUAGUUAUCCGUUAACGUUUGAACUCGUCGGUUUUUCACGGUGAGCGGGAACUGGCAACUUCCGGUCACGGUUUGAACAAAGACACUCGUCUCCGGAUCAUCGGGUGAUGCUAACGUGCUAACCAUCCAGGGGUGCCGAAGGUUAGCUUCUAGGCUAACCGAGCAGAGGUCUUCCCUGUUAUCAGUUAGCUCCGUUAGCCGCUAGCUGUUAGCAUGCAGUGUGUUAACGUUCUGAAAAAGAGAAGUCUGGAAGCGGAAGUGGAGCCGUGGAGCUGCAGACCGGUGAGUGAUGAUGACGAAGAUGAUGAAGGC